This is a long non-coding RNA of Grus americana (Whooping crane), 1546 nucleotides long. RefSeq lists it as uncharacterized. The transcript is spliced from 4 exons. Lineage: Eukaryota; Metazoa; Chordata; Aves; Gruiformes; Gruidae. The record is from RefSeq and is a predicted model, not a curated record.
GUUGAACAAGUGUCCUGUUCCUCCCUCCUGCAGGUCACCAGGACAGACCCUCCAACACGGAUAUCCGACUCCACAGCACCCGUUCCUGUUGUCUGCCUACAGCGCUGGAAGGGCUGUUUAACCCAUGCACACUUGUGACCACCCAUUUUAACAAGUCACUGAUAUACCUUGCUUGGCUUUCUGCAGCACAGCGUUUAUUACGAGACCAGCAGACGUUAUUCAUUUUUUGCCUGGAGGUACACCCAACAACAAGGCGCCUCGGACCUAUUCUUGCCAGUACUAAGGGUGGCUGACUCUCUCAGUUGGCUCCUGUCUGACUCGUCCCCCGCUGAAAAGCACGAAACAUCAUCCCUUCUCAGAAGAGUUUGUCUUCAACAGCUCCGGUUUCCAGAAUUUGCAGUCACAUUGAUGUAGAUGUACAAGUGACAAACACACUGUGAAAAGAAGGAGCAGUCUCCCAUCUGCACGGAUCUCCUCAGCCCUGCUGAAGGUCGAGGCUUGGAGCUGGUUAACCAUUAAAAUGAAAGGCCUAAAUCCUGCAGAGUCCUCUCAAGGAAAGCUCCUGUCUCUUUGGAGCACCGCUGAGGAUGGUACAAAUGAAAAGAAGAAAGAACUUCUCCCUGUUUUCCAUAAUCACAAAAUAUGGUCUGACCACUCAGCUGCAAAAAUAUUCAGAGCAGGGCUGUUGAGCCCUGUUUUCAUUCCUGGUAGUGUUACCUGUGCAAUUAAGAAAUAAUCAAACCUCUUUCCUUCAUGCACAUUUCUAAAAUAUCUGGGACAAAUCUGUUUAUAAAUAGUACCGAACCGUGCAUUACUUUACUUUAUCCACCCUUUGUAACCUCCUUACGAUCACGAGGACGGUUUGUUGGAGUAAAGGUGUGUUACAUGAUCUCUUAACUGGUGAUUUGGGUCACAGAGGUAGAAAGGAUAGGGAUUGCAGCUGUUGCAUUUCCGUAGCGAGGGACAUAUUCCUAUCCUGACUCCCAGCGCUGUGCUCAGAGCCUCAGGGCUGCCUGCGUGCGGGCUCUGCUCCGGCUGUCGGCACACGCCUCCUGCCCUUGCGCUAUCGUGACUCUUCUGGGAAGGAUUGUACGUGCCUUCAAGCCUUUCCAGCCUUUCCAGUGAGAAACCCUGGAGCUGCCUGCACCGCAGGUAGAGUUGCCCUUGGGUGGCACUGUAAACCCUGGCCAGAGAUUAAGUGCCUCCCAGGGAGUAACAGUGGGAUUUCUGCAGCCUGGCAGGUUAGGUGUUGCUCCAGGUGGGUGAUGAGAGCUCCUGGCUGCCUCAGCCUCACACCUACCCUUCAGGUCAGUCAGGGCAGCAGUGCAGGUGGAGCCAUUUGGGAUGUCAAGAUCACGGUGUUUACUUCACCAGACUGAAGCCAUGAGACUCUUAGCAAUGGUGACAACUGAGCUGGAGAUGGCAGCAGACCCUUAUCAUGAAAAAGGAGGCCUAUGGUUUCAAACUGUCUUUUUAAAUUGUUUGUUUCCCGAAUGUCCAAGGUGUCUUUUCUGAAUGGAGGCACUGUUGUCUCAGAUCCCCUUCC